GGGUGCGGAACACGUACACAACCUUCCUAUAAGUGGGGGAUAGCCCAGAGAAAUUUGGAUUAAUACCCCGUAAUAUUAUUUAGUGGCAUCAUUAGAUAAUUAAAGCUCCGGCGCUUAUUGAUGGGUGUGCGUCUGAUUAGGUAGUUGGUGAGGGUAACGGCCCACCAAGCCUUCGAUCAGUAACUGGUGUGAGAGCACGACCAGUCACACGGGCACUGAGACACGGGCCCGACUCCUACGGGAGGCAGCAGUAAGGAAUAUUGGUCAAUGGACGCAAGUCUGAACCAGCCAUGCCGCGUGGAGGAUGAAGGUCCUCUGGAUUGUAAACUUCUUUUAUCUGGGAAGAAAUGCAUUUUUUCUAAAGUGUUUGACGGUACCAGAUGAAUAAGCACCGGCUAACUCCGUGCCAGCCGCCGCGG
RNAcentral lists this ribosomal RNA (419 nucleotides) under uncultured bacterium. RNAcentral's name for it is "bacterial SSU rRNA". It matches the Rfam family "Bacterial small subunit ribosomal RNA", at positions 104 to 520 of the family's 1533-position model. The record is from RNAcentral.